RNAcentral lists this ribosomal RNA (321 nucleotides) under uncultured eukaryote. Its description in RNAcentral is "partial 18S ribosomal RNA". It matches the Rfam family "Eukaryotic small subunit ribosomal RNA", at positions 1470 to 1796 of the family's 1831-position model. The record is from RNAcentral.
CCCUUAGAUGUCCUGGGCCGCACGCGCGCUACACUGACAUGUUCAACAAGCCUCCUAGUUCGGCAGGAUUUGGGAAAUCUUUGAACGCAUGUCGUGAUAGGGAUAGAUCAUUGCAAUUAUUGAUCUUGAACGAGGAAUUCCUAGUAAACGCGAGUCAUCAGCUCGCAUUGAUUACGUCCCUGCCCUUUGUACACACCGCCCGUCGCACCUACCGAUUGAAUGUUUCGGUGAAGAUUCCGGAUAGGACUUUUUUGAUUUAUUUCAAUUUUGUCUUAAAAGCUAUCUAAACCUCAACAUUUAGAGGAAGGUGAAGUCGUAACA